RNAcentral lists this ribosomal RNA (274 nucleotides) under uncultured bacterium. Its description in RNAcentral is "partial 16S ribosomal RNA". It matches the Rfam family "Bacterial small subunit ribosomal RNA", at positions 523 to 796 of the family's 1533-position model. The record is from RNAcentral.
AUACGGAGGGUGCAAGCGUUACUCGGAAUCACUGGGCGUAAAGGACGCGUAGGCGGAUUGGAAAGUCAGAUGUGAAAUCCUACAGCUUAACUGUAGAACUGCAUUUGAAACUUCUAAUCUAGAGUAUGGGAGGGGGAGAUGGAAUUAGUGGUGUAGGGGUAAAAUCCGUAGAUAUCACUAGGAAUACCGAAAGCGAAGGCGAUCUCCUGGAACAUAACUGACGCUAAGGCGUGAAAGCGUGGGGAGCAAACGGGAUUAGAAACCCUUGUAGUCC